This 425-nucleotide ribosomal RNA is filed under the name uncultured bacterium. Its description in RNAcentral is "bacterial SSU rRNA". It matches the Rfam family "Bacterial small subunit ribosomal RNA", at positions 356 to 773 of the family's 1533-position model. The record is from RNAcentral.
GGGGAAUUUUGGACAAUGGGCGAAAGCCUGAUCCAGCCAUGCCGCGUGAAUGAAGAAGGCCUUCGGGUUGUAAAGUUCUUUUAGUUGGAAAGAAAAGAUUAUGAUGAAUAAUCAUAAUUCAUGACGGUACCGACAGAAAAAGCACCGGCUAACUACGUGCCAGCAGCCGCGGUAAUACGUAGGGUGCAAGCGUUAAUCGGAAUUACUGGGCGUAAAGGGUGUGCAGGCGGCCUUGUAAGUCAGAUGUGAAAGCCCCGGGCUUAACCUGGGAAUUGCGUUUGAAACUACAAGGCUAGAGUGCAGCAGAGGGGAGUGGAAUUCCAUGUGUAGCAGUGAAAUGCGUAGAGAUAUGGAAGAACACCGAUGGCGAAGGCAGCUCCCUGGGCUGACACUGACGCUCAUACACGAAAGCGUGGGGAGCAAAC